UGGACAUCAAUCCAGCACACCUGCAAUAGCCGUCGCCAUCUUUGGCUUUGAGUACCGCGAAAAGUGUCCCUUCCGAAAAGAAGAGAACCCGAGUCAUCCGACCGGUCCAGCACCGCGGCCGGGCCUUCCGCCCGGACAAAGCAGAAUCUCCCACCAGCAUCGGUGCAGAGAAAGAAGAAGAACAGCAGCAGCAAAUCAUACCAACAAGGAAGAAGAAGGGUCUUCGUCUCCCUGCAUCCAUCGUCCAUCUGAGGACCCAAACGGCCGGUGCCAAUGGACCUCCAUCCACCAUAGGCCGCGACCUCGAUGAGAUCCGGGGAUCCCUCACCCCGCUGGCUCCUAGACGAAGGCAAAAACCUCGCCUGACCGUGAACGAAGCCCGGAGAAACUUAUUCCGACGCGACACCACCGCAACGGCCUCGGCAGUGUCUCCCUCGACCCUAACCCUACCACACACCCACCAAAUGAAUAGACCCGAGGUUCCCUCUCCCUCCCGUCGUCGGAGGCGCCACCGGCGGCGCGCAAGGGAACCUUGUCGCCUGCCAAUAUAGCCUCGUGCGAUCCUAUUUUCCCGCUGCGGUCGUUUCGUGACCCACGGACACAAGGUUUUGCCACCUUUUUUCUUGCCUCUGUUGGACUUUGUUACAAACUUCUCUCUUAAUUAAUAAAAUGGCAAGCCUUUUGACUUGUUUAUAUAAUAAUAAAGAAAAGAAAAAGACAGUUUCAGCGUUUCUUUCCAGAUCGCUUCGGCCUCCUCUCUGUCCUCCGGAGACCAGGACUCCUCACGCUCACGGCCUCACCACUCACCGCUUCUCCCACCUCCUCCGCCGCCGCAAUGGCAGGGGAAAGCACGGCAGCCACCUCAUCGCUCGCAUGCGCACCCGCCCCGGCGCCGGCAGACGCACUCCUGCCCACUCCGCCAGCCGCCCAGCGUCCCGAGCAACGCGACCUUGGGACUGGGAGGCUCAUAUGGGCGGUAAUAAGCUGGACUGGAGGUUGCGCGGGGAGGCGGAGCCCGGAGCCGCCGUGCCUGGCGACAUGGGCGGCGAGGUAAGAGGCUAGAACCCUAGAAUUUUGGCACUACCUAUAUCUGAAUCUGCCACUCGCUCUUCUUCUGAAAAAAAAUCUGCUAUUACCUGUUUCCUCUGCAGUUCCGUUUGUGGAUUGCCCUCCUGCUGGCUGGAUGUUAGGGGCAAUGGAUCCUGAUCAUCUACUGUCCUCUUUUUUACCAUCUAGGUAGACCGGGCAUGAGGUUUGGUUGUUUAGGUUCAGGCAUCGACUGAACUUGGUGAAUCCAAACUACUUGAUGAGAAGACAAGUACUACUACUCGUAGGUCUGCAUACUUUCAUCUGAACUUUUAGGUGGCCUGUCACCUGUCAGGUGGUGAACUCAAUCAAUUAUACCCAUGAGCAAUGGUCUGCAUGAUAAUAUUUCAUAUUUGGUGUAGGCACCAAUAUGUAUAUGUACAGACAAAGGCCAGCAGUUUAAAGCAUCCCCUCUGGUAUCCAGUGUUUGCUUGAAGCAUCCACUUGACUUCAGGGAAGGAAAUGAGAUGGAAAGGGGAAAAUGAUAACAGG
RNAcentral lists this long non-coding RNA (1578 nucleotides) under Triticum aestivum (bread wheat). Its description in RNAcentral is "long non-coding RNA (TAES_LNC021289)". Lineage: Eukaryota; Viridiplantae; Streptophyta; Magnoliopsida; Poales; Poaceae. The record is from RNAcentral.